This 277-nucleotide ribosomal RNA is filed under the name uncultured bacterium. RNAcentral's name for it is "partial 16S ribosomal RNA". It matches the Rfam family "Bacterial small subunit ribosomal RNA", at positions 28 to 305 of the family's 1533-position model. The record is from RNAcentral.
GACGAACGCUGGCGGCGUGCUUAACACAUGCAAGUCGAGCGAGGCCCCACCUUCGGGUGGGUGUCCUAGCGGCGAACGGGUGAGUAACACGUGGGCAACCUGCCCCUAGCACUGGGAUAACCCCGGGAAACCGGGGCUAAUACCGGAUAUGACCGCGGAAGGCAUCUUCUGCGGUGUAAAGGGUUACUGGCUAGGGAUGGGCCCGCGGCCUAUCAGCUUGUUGGUGGGGUAACGGCCUACCAAGACGACGACGGGUAGCCGGCCUGAGAGGGCGACC